ACCGGAGGGAUAGCUCAGUUGGCUGAGCAUGAGACUCUUAAUCUCAGGGUUGUGGGUUCGAUCCCCAUGUUCGGCA
RNAcentral lists this transfer RNA (76 nucleotides) under Podarcis lilfordi (Lilford's wall lizard). Its description in RNAcentral is "tRNA.Lys". The stretch from base 11 to 68 matches the Rfam family "tRNA", at positions 8 to 63 of the family's 71-position model. From Rfam's summary of the family: Transfer RNA (tRNA) molecules are approximately 80 nucleotides in length. Their secondary structure includes four short double-helical elements and three loops (D, anti-codon, and T loops). Further hydrogen bonds mediate the characteristic L-shaped molecular structure. tRNAs have two regions of fundamental functional importance: the anti-codon, which is responsible for specific mRNA codon recognition, and the 3' end, to which the tRNAs corresponding amino acid is attached (by aminoacyl-tRNA synthetases). tRNAs cope with the degeneracy of the genetic code in two manners: having more than one tRNA (with a specific anti-codon) for a particular amino acid; and 'wobble' base-pairing, i.e. permitting non-standard base-pairing at the 3rd anti-codon position. Lineage: Eukaryota; Metazoa; Chordata; Lepidosauria; Squamata; Lacertidae. The record is from RNAcentral.